Molecule: long non-coding RNA, 648 nt
Filed under: Medicago truncatula (barrel medic)
Lineage: Eukaryota; Viridiplantae; Streptophyta; Magnoliopsida; Fabales; Fabaceae
Description: long non-coding RNA (MTRU_LNC005333)
Source: RNAcentral
AGAGAGAUGAGAACUAGACUGACAAACACAAUAAUAUAAUUAAGUAGUAAACUGAAAUUCAGACACAAGAAAUUCAUCAAUAUAGAGAAUUAAGAGCAAACCAUCUUCUUCAAAAGAAAAAUUACAUAAAGAAAAAUAAAACUAGUAAUACAAAAAGAAACAAGCCUACUACUGCUUACAAAGUCCAAAAGGGAAACUUUAGAACAUUGAUCAAUGAUCAUAGAUUCGAGUAGUUUUCUUUCAUUUGCUUGAAAAUUAAAACACAGACGUGAAUAUAAAUAUAAUGGUUCAAGUUGAAGAUGGCGAGUCAUUGGAUCUGAAGGGUCUUGGCCUUACCGUCGGGGAGCGAAAACAUCUUGCAUGGUGGGGAACUUUGUUCCUUUGGUGUUGUUAUUGGCAUCACCGGUUCUCUCUCUAGGAGGUGGCCUAAUACCGAAAAUCUUAUCCAUGGUGGGGAAUUUGGUGUUGUCUGUUCUCCGGGAUGAAGAACCUGCACCACCAGAGGCACCGGUGUUAAUGUUGUUGUUGUUGUUUGAAUCAGACAUUGCUAAAACAAGAGAUAUAUGUGGUGAAGAAGUAAAGAAAAGACUAAAGGAAACGAUGAUAAUGAAAUGGAGAGGAAAUGAGCAAUUAUAACAUUGAGGAAAU